GGUUAAUGUUCCCUUCUCCUUGUUGAAUAUUUGGAAGUUUCCUUCCAAAGCUUGGGAGGGGCUAGUUUCACAGGAAGGUCACAUGAACACGAUCUCAUGGGCAGUUCAUUGACUCUGCCCAGCUUUAAUCUCUGCGGUUGGAGCAGGAGAGUGAAGGGCAGUGGACAGACACUGCCCUCUCCCUCUCCAUUUAUUCUCCUCCUUCCAUGCCCCUUUUCUGCCUGGAACCUUCUCCAUGCUCUAGUUAACAAAUGUGCAUUUCAGCAUUCAGGCUGAAACUCAACUGCCAGCACAAGGCAAGUAAUGCCAUUUGACUUAAGAACAAUCUGCAUUUAAGAAGUCAGGGUUUUCUAGUCUGCCCGAUGCUUCUGCUUUAGAACAAAUUAAAGAGGGGGACCUCAGCCCAUCUUUAUAUCCCAGCUUUAUCCAUUUACCUGUCAGAAACACACCCUGUUUUCCUUUGAGUUUCUCUACAUCCCACUUUCAACUCUUCCCUCUCUUGUGCCUCCAGUAUCCUGAGUCUACAGUUCCCACCUCCAUAGCUCCCAAUGCACACAGUGAACAUCCUCUUUAAAAAUGACCUAAUCUUUCUAGAACCUUAAGGCUGGCAAAGAAAAAAAUAUCAAUGCAUCCCUUGCCUUCCUGGCCCUUAUAAAUUUUUAAAUGACACAACAUGUGUUUCUAGAAGGGAAAGUGUUAUUUGAAUUCUUGGGUUUUGCCCUGGCAAUGAUGGGCCUAUUAACCUCCCAUUAACAUUGGCUUUUUGAUGAUGGCCAAACCAUUAUCCUUUUCAUUUCACUUUUUAAAAUUACUGCUUGAUUACAGUGAAAGUGUUGUAUAAAAAUGGUAAUGUUGGAGUGAGGAUGCCCCACUUUAGGACCUCAAGAUCUCAGUGACUUUAUUUUGCUUAAAGAAACAUUGAUAUGGUACUUACUAUGUGUCAGGUCAUGUCCUGUGUGCUUUACAGCUACAAACCCACUUAAUCCAUAUCACAAUCCUAUGUGAUAUAGACUACUGCUAUCUUCAUUUUACAGAUGAGGAAAUAGAGGCCCAGAGAGGUCAGGUAACUUACUCAAGGUCCUGUAAAAUGCUGGGGUUUGAACCUACUCAUUCUGGCUCCAGAGUCCCAGCUCAGAACCACUAGCACUGUUUUCUCUCUGUUGAGGAUUAUCUGGGACACCAUUUCUUUAUUUGUACAAUGAAGGAGUUGAAAUGUAUAACUUCUGAAUUCAUUCCAGGACUAAUAUCAUGGGGGACAGUGAUAAUUUCAGGGUGUUUUGUAGGCCAUAACACCUGGCUUUUAUAAUUUUUGUCCUGAUCCAUGUGUUGAAAUAAUUAUUUUGGGUAAAAUAUUCUGUGCAUAGCUCUUAAGUCCCAUGCCCAGCCAUUCUGUGAUCCCAACAUUGAGGAGGAGAAACAACCCUUGAAUGAAUUGACUUCCCAAAGCACAUUCCAAGACCCACCAAUGCAGUGCCAUGUUUGAAAGAAAGGGUUCCCCAGACAGGAAGUCUGGGAAACACUGCAUAUCACAUCUCACCCUUUUCAGGAAUCAUAGUACACUGAACAUAUUGGAGGAACCUAGUUGUUCUGCAAUUGGGAAACCAAUUCAACUUUGAUUAUUCAAGUGUUUACCACCCUUGUCUUACCAGGAAAUCUACUCUUUGAGCAGCAUUUUAUUAGCAUCCCCUACAACCAGGCUUCUGAAAGACACUAGGGGCACACUGGCUGACACAUUUUUAUAAGUGGUUUCUACAGCUUUUAAUCUGCAGAGAUGCGAAAGUUUUACUCUUUUGUGCUGGUACCCAUCUGUGUAUAUAUAGCUGUAUAAAUAUUAGGAACAACAGGAGUCUUCUGUAAAAAGAUACAUAUCUACCACCUCUUGAGAUUCUCAGCUAACAAGAUAUGUAUACUUCUCCCACAGCCAUCCUUAUGGUGAAAAUAUUCACUUAAAUACAAACUGUACAUGUAAAGAUGUGAAAUUGACCCUCAAGCUGUCUCUCUCUUCACAGUUCCAUGCCAGCUAGAGAAUGUGGUCAAACGUUGACUUUCUCUCACCCUCUUCUUACAUCAUCUUUUCUUCCCAUAUAUUCUUGGGCUUUUUCUGUAUUUAUUUCCUUUGGCUUUCCAUUUCUAUUUUCCCCUCCUUCCUCUACCUUUCAUAAUUCCCAAAGACAAGGAUGUUCAGGAGAGAGAGGACUGGCAGCUAACAGAACAAUGUCCCUAAACACUGAGGCUGGGUCACCACAUGUGGCAACGCAGUGUUUCCAUUUGCUGAUUUAUUAUUUUUACAAUGCCCACUUGCAAAAAGGGUUUCUUUAC
This 2319-nucleotide long non-coding RNA is filed under the name Homo sapiens (human). RNAcentral describes it as "HSALNT0407060". The record is from RNAcentral. Lineage: Eukaryota; Metazoa; Chordata; Mammalia; Primates; Hominidae.